CCUACGGGUGGCAGCAGUGGGGAAUAUUGCACAAUGGGGGAAACCCUGAUGCAGCGACGCCGCGUGAGUGAAGAAGGAUUUCGGUAGGUAAAGCUCUAUCAGCAGGGAAGAAAAGGACGGUACCUGACGAAGAAGCCCCGGCGAACUACGUGCCAGCAGACGCGGUAAUACGUAGGGGGCAAGCGUUAUCCGGAUUUACGGGGUGUAAAGGGAGCGUAGCCGGCCAGACAAGGCAGAAGUGAAAGCCCAGGGCUCAACUCUGGGACGGCUUUUGAAACUGCCGGGCUGGAGUGCAGGAGAGGUAAGCGGCAUUCCUCGUGUAGCGGUGUACUUCGUAGAUAUUAGGAG
Molecule: ribosomal RNA, 348 nt
Filed under: uncultured bacterium
Lineage: Bacteria
Description: partial 16S ribosomal RNA
Rfam family: Bacterial small subunit ribosomal RNA
Source: RNAcentral